Molecule: long non-coding RNA, 242 nt
Organism: Coffea arabica (coffee)
Lineage: Eukaryota; Viridiplantae; Streptophyta; Magnoliopsida; Gentianales; Rubiaceae
Source: RefSeq, a predicted model, not a curated record
AGCAGAUGAUUCUUACUGCAUUUUCUGCCCUUGGACUUCAAGGUCAAGGACCAGAUGUCGGGGAAGGUAAUCGCGAAGGGGCCUAGAGUGGGAAGAUUAUUUCCAUUGCAAUUUACUGUUCCUAGAACUUUAUCUUUAGCCUCUAUGAUUGUUGACAAUAAGGCUGAAAUUUGGCAUAGACGAUUGGGUCAUCCAAAUAAUGUCAUUUUAUCUGAUUUAAUAAAGCGUGGUUUUCUUGGUGC